RNAcentral lists this ribosomal RNA (253 nucleotides) under uncultured bacterium. RNAcentral's name for it is "partial 16S ribosomal RNA". It matches the Rfam family "Bacterial small subunit ribosomal RNA", at positions 524 to 776 of the family's 1533-position model. The record is from RNAcentral.
UACGUAGGGUGCAAGCGUUAAUCGGAAUUACUGGGCGUAAAGCGUGCGCAGGCGGUUGGGCAAGACAGAUGUGAAAUCCCCGGGCUUAACCUGGGAACUGCAUUUGUGACUGUACGGCUGGAGUGCGGCAGAGGGGGAUGGAAUUCCGCGUGUAGCAGUGAAAUGCGUAGAUAUGCGGAGGAACACCGAUGGCGAAGGCAAUCCCCUGGGCCUGCACUGACGCUCAUGCACGAAAGCGUGGGGAGCAAACAGG